Molecule: long non-coding RNA, 527 nt
Filed under: Homo sapiens (human)
Lineage: Eukaryota; Metazoa; Chordata; Mammalia; Primates; Hominidae
Description: non-protein coding lnc-BRD3-7:1
Source: RNAcentral
CACUGGGGACCCCUCCCAUGCUCUGGGCCUCCCAUGCUCCAGGCCUCCCAUGCUAGGCACACGGCCCAGGGGUGCAGGAGGCAGAGCCCACUCUGAAUGGUUGUCACUGCUCCCCUCCCCAACUCUACAUCCGCUGCCCAACUCUGCUGGGUCCACACCAGGCACAGGGCCCGCACAGAGGCUGCGUCCCAUCACUACCACCAGUGUGUUGGGACAGGAAGCCCAGUGCCCAUAGAGCGUCGAGGGAACCUAAGCUCAGAAAGUCUCCUACGGAAGGCAGCACACAGACAGACACCGGUCAGAGUGGGAAGCUGGUUGCUAAGGGGUAUGGUGGUGGGGCCUGCCUGGCUCCUGAGGAUGAAGGGGCGUCCGUGGCCAGGCAGCAGUGAGAACUCCACCCUGGGGAGCCACAGAGGGCGCUACGCAGCAGAGAAGCACAGUUCUCAGAGGCCCGGGAGGUGGGGAGGAGAGGGCUCCAGGGCCCAGGGCCUGGGAUCCAGCCCCGUCCCAACCUCCUGUUGGGAGCC